UGAGUUUUUGAUUUCAUUGUGCAUGUGUGUGUAGGGUAUUGUCUAUUGUGUAAUAAGUUGAUGAGUAUAAUAACAAAUAAGUAACUUAGAGUUUAAAAUAUUGAAAAAUGUCAAUAAUAAUAAUUAUUGUAGAUUGUUUUUAUAAUAUGUGAAUCUGAGGUAGAACUGAAUAAUUACUCUUAAAAUGACCGAGAAAUUAGCUGUGAAGUUUUCUCAUCAUGAACAACAGGAAUUUUGUUAUAAUCGACCGCAUUAUAGACAAGGCAGAAAAUUUACCGCCGUAAAGGUAGUUAAUCAAAAUACUUUCUGCGAGUCAUGUCUAGGUAUAUACGAUUAAUGAUGAAUCGACGCAUCUUUUGAUCUUUGACGUUCCUGGUAUCAAUUUGAGAGAUGAAUUGGCCAAGUUGGUGAAGAAAUAUGGGCCAAUCAAUUCCUUAUCUCAAGUGAAAGAUUAUGACGAUCUAAAACAAUUUACGGAGCUUUACCAUGUCAAUUACAAACGAAUUCAAGCUGCCAGGUAUGCGAAACGACAACUGGAUAACCGCUCAUUUUAUGGUGGAAUUUUACAUGUGUGCUAUGCUCCUGAAUACGAAAGUGUGACCGAAACUAGAGAGAAACUUAUACAGAGAAGGCGAGAGGUUUCUCUCAGACUACGGAUUAAUGAGGGAAAAUCAAUUUCUGGAGAGUCAAAAACCAGUAAACCGGUAAGGACAAGAAAACAUCCAGCUCUUCCUUUGACUAAUCGCAGCUCGGAUUCAUCAGAAAGCCAUGUCGUUGGAUCCACUUCUCAAUCCGUCAUAACGCCUUCAGCCUCUCUACUGCAGGAAAGGUUUCAUCCUCGAGGAAUCAAAAGGAAACAUGAAUCAGCGACAGAGAAUGAAUUGGUGGCUGACAAUAAAAUUUCAUCAACGAAUUCUAGCUCUGCUAAAAUGCCAACCACUUUAGAUCGAAGUUUGACUACAAAUGAGAUGAAAACAUUGAAAUUUGUUCCCCGGUCUGUGUCAUGUGUCAAAAGGAUCACAUUUCACAAACCUCGGAGUCAGGUUCCUUAAUGAAUGGACAAGGAAUGGACUAAGACACGAACAUGCUUUUGCAUUGCAGUUCGAUUGUAUUCUCUUUAAUAUGUGUUUAUUGCCAAUCAUGCUACAAUUUUAAAAUCUAUAUAAAUAAGAAAGCGAUUUGUCGUUGACAAGAAAACUGCAGUGAAGAAUUCUCAAUAAUUAUUGUUUACAUGAAUUUUAUGAUGUGAUAAAUAAUUUACUAUUAUCUCUUUUCUGUAUAGGGCUACUUGUAAUAUAAAUAGAAAUACAAAUCUUA
Nilaparvata lugens (brown planthopper) is the source of this 1317-nucleotide RNA transcript. It is a transcript of the gene named RNA-binding protein 48, with no coding region annotated. The transcript is spliced from 6 exons. The record is from RefSeq and is a predicted model, not a curated record. Lineage: Eukaryota; Metazoa; Arthropoda; Insecta; Hemiptera; Delphacidae.